GAAAAUAGCUCAGCUGGUAGAGCGCAACCUUGCCAAGGUUGAGGUCGCGGGUUCGAACCCCGUUUUUC
This 68-nucleotide transfer RNA is filed under the name Flammeovirga kamogawensis. It matches the Rfam family "tRNA". Rfam says of the family: Transfer RNA (tRNA) molecules are approximately 80 nucleotides in length. Their secondary structure includes four short double-helical elements and three loops (D, anti-codon, and T loops). The record is from RNAcentral. RNAcentral also lists the same sequence under 5 other names. Lineage: Bacteria; Pseudomonadati; Bacteroidota; Cytophagia; Cytophagales; Flammeovirgaceae.